Non-coding RNA from Manis javanica (Malayan pangolin), 254 nucleotides. The record is from RefSeq and is a predicted model, not a curated record. Lineage: Eukaryota; Metazoa; Chordata; Mammalia; Pholidota; Manidae.
AUGGAUAGCAAAUUUCAUAAACGAUAUAUGCACAAGGAAACAUGGGAGCAUGGAAAACAGAGAUCGACAUUUGCAGAGAUGGUGAGAUGAUUAAAGCAUAAACUCUGGAGCCCAUAUGCCUGGAUUCCGCAGAUGGGUGAAAUCAUAUGUAUAAAGGCAAAUAUGAAGAGCAGCUAUAAAUGUUCUUUCUUUUGUGAAACUUGGCUUUCAAGAUGGAAAUUUAUUUCAUGUUGGCCAAUUAGAUUGUGAAAAAC